GACGAACGCUGGCGGCGUGCUUAACACAUGCAAGUCGAACGGAAAGGCCCCUUUAGGGGUACUCGAGUGGCGAACGGGUGAGUAACACGUGAGUAACCUGCCCUUGACUUCGGGAUAACUUCAGGAAACUGGGGCUAAUACCGGAUAGGAAUCCUUGCUGCAUGGUGGGGGUUGGAAAGCUUCGGCGGUUUUGGAUGGACUCGCGGCUUAUCAGCUUGUUGGUGGGGUAGUGGCUUACCAAGGCUUUGACGGGUAGCCGGCCUGAGAGGGCGACCGGCCACAUUGGGACUGAGAUACGGCCCAGACUCCUACGGGAGGCAGCAGUGGGGAAUAUUGCACAAGGGGCGGAAGCCUGAUGCAGCAACGCCGCGUGCGGGAUGACGGCCUUCGGGUUGGAAACCGCUUUCAGCAGGGGCGAAGCUUGUGGUGACGGUACCUGCAGAAGAAGCACCGGCUAACUACGUG
RNAcentral lists this ribosomal RNA (465 nucleotides) under uncultured bacterium. RNAcentral's name for it is "partial 16S ribosomal RNA". It matches the Rfam family "Bacterial small subunit ribosomal RNA", at positions 28 to 507 of the family's 1533-position model. The record is from RNAcentral.